Molecule: non-coding RNA, 83 nt
Organism: Cynoglossus semilaevis (tongue sole)
Lineage: Eukaryota; Metazoa; Chordata; Actinopteri; Pleuronectiformes; Cynoglossidae
Source: the annotation of a RefSeq genome assembly
GGUAGUGUAGCUGAGUGGUCUAAGGCACUGGAUUAAGGCUCCAGUCUCUUUUGGGGGCGUGGGUUCGAAUCCAACAGCUGCCA